RNAcentral lists this ribosomal RNA (332 nucleotides) under uncultured bacterium. RNAcentral describes it as "bacterial SSU rRNA". It matches the Rfam family "Bacterial small subunit ribosomal RNA", at positions 568 to 898 of the family's 1533-position model. The record is from RNAcentral.
CGUGUAGGCGGUCAGGUAAGUGAAAUGUGAAAUGCCUCGGCUCACCCGAGGACCGGCAUCUCAUACUGCCUGACUUGAGUACGGGAGAGGAUGUGGGAAUUCCUGGUGUAGCGGUGAAAUGCGUAGAUAUCAGGAGGGACACCGGUGGCGAAGGCGCACAUCUGGCCCGAUACUGACGCUGAGGCGCGAAAGCUAGGGGAGCAAACGGGAUUAGAUACCCCGGUAGUCCUAGCCGUAAACGGUGAUCACUAGGUGUUGGAGGCAUUGACCCCUCCAGUGCCGCAGCUAACGCAUUAAGUGAUCCGCCUGGGGAGUACGGCCGCAAGGUUGAA